RNAcentral lists this small nucleolar RNA (103 nucleotides) under Solanum tuberosum (potato). Lineage: Eukaryota; Viridiplantae; Streptophyta; Magnoliopsida; Solanales; Solanaceae. The record is from RNAcentral.
ACUUAAGAUGUGUUCUGUUGUAAAUAUGGAUGGAGAACUAUUGGUAGGCUUUAGGUGGGCAGACAAUGAGUAUUGGAUUGCCUGUAAGACCCUAAUAACAUUG